RNAcentral lists this ribosomal RNA (573 nucleotides) under Phomopsis sp. IDEA_FITOPAT_D009. Its description in RNAcentral is "eukaryotic LSU rRNA". The stretch from base 208 to 361 matches the Rfam family "5.8S ribosomal RNA". Lineage: Eukaryota; Fungi; Ascomycota; Sordariomycetes; Diaporthales; Diaporthaceae. The record is from RNAcentral.
UUCCGUAGGUGAACCUGCGGAGGGAUCAUUGCUGGAACGCGCUUCGGCGCACCCAGAAACCCUUUGUGAACUUAUACCUAUUUGUUGCCUCGGCGUAGGCCGGCCUUUUGUGACAAAGGCCCCCUGGAAACAGGGAGCAGCCCGCCGGCGGCCAACCAAACUCUUGUUUCUAUAGUGAAUCUCUGAGUAAAAACAUAAAUGAAUCAAAACUUUCAACAACGGAUCUCUUGGUUCUGGCAUCGAUGAAGAACGCAGCGAAAUGCGAUAAGUAAUGUGAAUUGCAGAAUUCAGUGAAUCAUCGAAUCUUUGAACGCACAUUGCGCCCUCUGGUAUUCCGGAGGGCAUGCCUGUUCGAGCGUCAUUUCAACCCUCAAGCCUGGCUUGGUGAUGGGGCACUGCCUUCUAACGAGGGCAGGCCCUGAAAUCUAGUGGCGAGCUCGCUAGGACCCCGAGCGUAGUAGUUAUAUCUCGUUCUGGAAGGCCCUGGCGGUGCCCUGCCGUUAAACCCCCAACUUCUGAAAAUUUGACCUCGGAUCAGGUAGGAAUACCCGCUGAACUUAAGCAUAUCAAUAA